GGGCCUAUAGCUCAGUUGGUUAGAGCAACUGACUCAUAAUCAGUAGGUCUCUGGUUCGAGCCCAGGUGGGCCCA
RNAcentral lists this transfer RNA (74 nucleotides) under Bacteroidota bacterium. RNAcentral describes it as "Bacteroidetes bacterium (activated sludge metagenome) tRNA-Ile". It matches the Rfam family "tRNA". Rfam says of the family: Transfer RNA (tRNA) molecules are approximately 80 nucleotides in length. Lineage: Bacteria; Pseudomonadati; Bacteroidota. The record is from RNAcentral.